UACGAAGGGUGCAAGCGUUACCCGGAAUUAUUGGGCGUAAAGGGUGCGUAGGUGGUUUGUUAAGUCUGCUGUGAAAUCCCCGGGCUCAACCUGGGAAUGGCAGUGGAUACUGGCAAGCUAGAGUGCGGUAGAGGGUAGUGGAAUUCCCGGUGUAGCAGUGAAAUGCUUAGAGAUCGGGAGGAACACCAGUGGCGAAGGCGGCUACCUGGACCAGCACUGACACUGAAGCACGAAAGCGUGGGGAGCAAACAGG
RNAcentral lists this ribosomal RNA (253 nucleotides) under uncultured bacterium. RNAcentral describes it as "partial 16S ribosomal RNA". It matches the Rfam family "Bacterial small subunit ribosomal RNA", at positions 524 to 776 of the family's 1533-position model. The record is from RNAcentral.